GAACGUAUUUUAAAAGAAAAUUUAUUAUGUUAUGAUAAAAAAAAAAAAAAAAAUAAUAAUAAUAAUAAUAAUAAUAAUGAUAAUGAUAAUAAUAAUAAUUACAUUAUAACAGGUUUUAAAAAUUUAGUUAGUUAUUUGUAUAUAACAAAUGAAAAAAUAAUACCUAGUUCAUUUUGUUUAUUAUUUUAUCGAGAGGAAGAAAAAAAAAAAAAGAUAGUACAACUUGAAGAUAGAUACAGUUUGUUUUUAUCAUUAUUACAAGAAAGUGAUACGUGCAUUAAUAGUUCCACUAAUGGUUAUACUGGUAAUACAACUUGUGAUGCAAAUAACAUAAAACCCACUAUUACAACCAACGUUACACCCAACGUUACACCCAACGUUAGUGGGAACAUAAAAAUUAUUAAUGAGUUUUUAAAUAAGGGUAAAAUUUUAAUAUAUAGAAAUAAAAAAAACUAUUUUAAAAAUUUUAUUACAAAAUUUUAUAAUGAAAUAAUAAUUUUUUUUUUUGGAAUAAAAACAUCUUAUUUGAACACAUUUUUUGACUUUUAUAUAUAUAAUUAUAAUUAUUAUUUAAUAGAUUUUAUACAAUUGUGUAAUGAAGAAAUAGAUAAAAUGAAAGAAAAUGUCGCUGAUAGGAGUCCCGAUGAAGGUUUAUGUAUCACAUCGUUAGAUCGUUCUGCUGUUACAAUUACAUCAACCAAUAGUAAUAAUAAUACUACUACUUUGUUUCCAAAACCAACUCAAUUUAUUUUUGUUCUUAUAGAAAAAAUAAAAAAUUUAAUAAAUAAAUGCCAUAAUAGAUUUAUAAUAUAUAAUUUCCCAUGUAGUAUGGAACAAGUUGAAUUAUUAAAACAAGAAGGUAUAAAUUUAAAAGUGGAAGGGUUUUACUUUAAUUAUUAUUACGACAAUAGUACGGAUUUAAAAAAAAAGUGUAACAAAAAGAGAAAUAAUAAUGAGUGAUUAUACUCAUAGAAAAAUGAGUCGGGGUAAUAUUAGUAGGAAUAGUCUAAUAUUAGAAUUAAAAACUGAUCAAAAUAUUAUAAAAAAUCAAAUGAGUGUCUUUUCUCCUGUAUGUAUAAGUAAAAUGAUAAAUAAUAAAAACUUUUCUAUAUUUAAUAUUAAAGAAAAA
This 1129-nucleotide long non-coding RNA is filed under the name Piliocolobus tephrosceles (Ugandan red Colobus). RNAcentral's name for it is "lncRNA (ENSPTEG00000004280.1)". The record is from RNAcentral. Lineage: Eukaryota; Metazoa; Chordata; Mammalia; Primates; Cercopithecidae.